Lutra lutra (Eurasian river otter) is the source of this 831-nucleotide long non-coding RNA. RefSeq lists it as uncharacterized. NCBI's taxonomy places the organism in Eukaryota, Metazoa, Chordata, Mammalia, Carnivora, Mustelidae. The record is from RefSeq and is a predicted model, not a curated record. The transcript has 3 exons.
GAGCCUACGGGCGGGGGCGGGGGGCGGGGGCUUCGCGGGGUCGGGGCGGGGUUGGGGGCGGGGCCCGGGCGGGGCGCGGAUCGGACGGUCGGAGGACACGCCCCGCGGGGGGUAGUCUGCCGCCCCACGCCCUCGCUUCCGUUUCCGCGGGAGACCGCGCGGGGAUCCUCGCGUUCCGCGUGCAGUGGCGUCGGUCCAAAUGUGCGUGGUGCUUACCCAAGAGAGCCUCAAGGACACGGCAGGAGGGUCCCCGCGUCAGACCAGGGCGAUCGCCUGACAAGAGACACAGCGGAGAUGAAAGGCUGUCUGAGACACGUGACGAGCCUUGAGCUCAUUGAGGGGAGUCAUUUCCGACGGGGUUGUGGGGGGCAAGGAUGUGGUGGGGGGUGCUGAGAAGCAGGAGAAAAGACUUCGUCAUGCUUUAGAGAGCGGCCUUGCCAGGAUAGGGAGAGCUGAGAAAAACACAGAAGGAAAGGAGAGAUGAAUCAGAGUAAGAUAUUCUCAACGUGGGUGCCGGACGGAUCCCAAAUGAACCAAGUCAGAUGAUGUUCCUUCUCAGCUCAGACGUGUCCCCAAUCAAAAGACAGAUGCGGAACGUUAUUUGGCAUGAGAAGGAGAGAAGUACUGCUACGUACCACGGCGUGCAUGAACUUUGAAAACUUUACCCCGAGUGAAACUUAGAAAAGACCACACAGGGACACUUGGGUGGCUCAGUUGGUUGAGCGUCUGACCGGUGAUUUCAGCUUAGGACAGGAUCUCAGGGUCUUGGGAUCAAGCCCCGCACCACGCUCCGUGCUUCGUGGGGCGGGGGGGGCGGGUAGUCUGCCUGAA